GACUUCCUUCGUGUGACUUGAGCAUUUCACAAUGUUUUACCCAAGUUAAAAAAUUUAUCAAAAAUAAUAAUAAUAAUAAUAAUCACCUUUGUCCCACUUCCAACAUUUAUCUUUUUUUUUUUUUCAUUUUUAUGUUUUUCAGUUUUACAGUAGAGUGCCUCGAAAUCUCGGUCUUUUAUAAAUAGGUUUACCUUUCACGACAUCAGUUUGAAAGGCAAAAUCAAAAUCAAGAUUCCAAAAGAGCAUGAGAAAAAGAAAACUAAAGAGAGGGUUGCCUUGCACAUAGUCUUCACCCCAAUAAAGAAAGGUUCAGAACUAUAAAGCAAAUAUGGAAAUAAUGAGCAGAGAUUAGAGAUUUGUAGCACAUAGUCUUCACCCCAUGGCAAAGAAUUUGAAGCUUAUCGGAGAAAACAUUCAUGUACAAUAGAUAAAGGUCCUCACAUUUUUAUGAAUUCCAAAGCUCGGGUGGGGCAUAUAUUGGGCCAGAGAUUCGGGAGCAUGAGGAGAUCAAAUGUGAAAUUAAAUGAUACUAAGUUGGCUCAAGAAAGCGGAUUGUUCCUUAGGAGCGAUACACUUAAGAGGACGAACCUUGGUACAAUGAUAAGAUUGAGAUCAAGAAUCGAGUCACAGAAAUAAUCUCUUUAAAUAUUUAAAAGUAAGAUCGAGCUUUUUGCACUGGUACGUUAUUUUUUAGACUUACACAGGAGUUUGAAAACCAACAAGUCUGCAAGUGAAACUUUUUGAGGAAUCCUGCAUCCUAGUUGUCAUCAGUAUCCUUGAUAUCUUGCAAGAGAACACCUCUAACUCUUGACCUGGACCACAAAAAAAAUAAAGAAACAGGACAAUGCAUCAUGAAUAUACCUGGGUAGAAAGCAUUAUAGAAACAAGAAAA
Molecule: long non-coding RNA, 892 nt
Filed under: Musa acuminata (dwarf banana)
Lineage: Eukaryota; Viridiplantae; Streptophyta; Magnoliopsida; Zingiberales; Musaceae
Description: long non-coding RNA (MACU_LNC003726)
Source: RNAcentral